Drosophila sechellia is the source of this 477-nucleotide long non-coding RNA. RefSeq lists it as uncharacterized. The transcript has 3 exons. NCBI's taxonomy places the organism in Eukaryota, Metazoa, Arthropoda, Insecta, Diptera, Drosophilidae. The record is from RefSeq and is a predicted model, not a curated record.
UCAAUCUCUGCCGGGUUGAAUGUGGAGCAAAUGUCAGCGCACAGCAGCCAAUAGCUGUCUCCACGACUGAUGGCGAACUGGAGCUACUGGAGCAUAAAAACGGAGCUGUAAUGAAGAGUACUUGGAUGGCUUUACAUCACAGGACGUAUACCCUUGGAUAGAGCAACCCAUAAACAAUGAAUAUUGGUGCUUAUCUGGGCGAGGAAAACCCAUUGAAGCGGCACAAUGAAUAAAACUUGGCACAGAGUCUGCCACUGAAGAUGCUUAAUUUGUUAAGCGCUGCCAUUGAAGCGAGAAGUGCGACGAAUGCGGAGAUAAUGGAGCAUCCCAGUCGAGGAGAAACCAAAACCAGCACAUUGUGCUGCCCAAAGAAUACCCAAGAUCCACACUUGUAUUGUUCGCAUGUGUGUUAUCACAACACGCAACUUGAUUUUCCACGCCUGUUACACAGUGGUAACCGUUGAAAUGUAGACUGUA